This 811-nucleotide ribosomal RNA is filed under the name uncultured bacterium. RNAcentral describes it as "bacterial SSU rRNA". It matches the Rfam family "Bacterial small subunit ribosomal RNA", at positions 8 to 796 of the family's 1533-position model. The record is from RNAcentral.
AGAGUUUGAUCAUGGCUCAGAACGAACGCUGGCGGCGUGGAUAAGACAUGCAAGUCGGACGGAAACUUUUCUGGUAGCAAUACCGGGGAAGUUUUAGUGGCGAACGGGUGCGUAACACGUGGGCAAUCUGCCGAGAAGUGGGGGGAUAGCUCGCCGAAAGGCGAAUUAAUACCGCAUGUGAUCAGGGGAGACAUCUUUCUGAAAUUAAAGCCGGGGCAACCUGGCGCUUCUUGAUGAGCCCGCGGCCUAUCAGCUAGUUGGUGAGGUAACGGCCCACCAAGGCGAUGACGGGUAGCUGGUCUGAGAGGACGACCAGCCACACUGGAACUGAGACACGGUCCAGACACCUACGGGUGGCAGCAGUCGAGAAUUUUUCUCAAUGGGGGAAACCCUGAAGGAGCGACGCCGCGUGGAGGAUGAAGGCUUUCGGGUUGUAAACUCCUGUCAUUUGGGAACAAUGCUACUGAGUUAACUGUUCAGUAGUUGAUAGUACCAGAAGAGGAAGAGACGGCUAACUCUGUGCCAGCAGCCGCGGUAAUACAGAGGUCUCAAGCGUUGUUCGGAUUCAUUGGGCGUAAAGGGUGCGUAGGUGGCGCGCUAAGUCAGGUGUGAAAUUUCGGAGCUCAACUCCGAAACUGCAUUUGAUACUGGCGUGCUUGAGGACUGGAGAGGAGACUGGAAUUCACGGUGUAGCAGUGAAAUGCGUAGAGAUCGUGAGGAAGACCAGUGGCGAAGGCGGGUCUCUGGACAGUUCCUGACACUGAGGCACGAAGGCCAGGGGAGCAAACGGGAUUAGAUACCCUCGUAGUCC